Molecule: ribosomal RNA, 255 nt
Filed under: Corethron hystrix
Lineage: Eukaryota; Bacillariophyta; Corethrophyceae; Corethrales; Corethraceae
Description: partial Bacterial large subunit ribosomal RNA
Rfam family: Bacterial large subunit ribosomal RNA
Source: RNAcentral
GUUGUAGACCCGAAACCGUGUGAGCUAGCCAUGAGCAGGCUGAAGGUCAGGUAACACUGACUGGAGGGCCGAACCAGGGCACGUUGAAAAGUGCUUGGAUGACUUGUGGCUAGGGGUGAAAUUCCAAUCGAACACGGAUAUAGCUGGUUCUCUCCGAAAUAGCUUUAGGGCUAGCCUCGAUGUUAAGUCUACUGGAGGUAGAGCACUGAAUGGGUGAUGGCCCCACCUCGGGGUACUGAUCUCAAUCAAACUCCG